GUAGUCUGCCAUACGCAGGAAGACCCGCUGAAGUGAAGCAUCUCAUUAAGCGGAGGAAAAGAAACUAACUAGGAUUCCCUUAGUAAAGGCGAUCGAAAAGGGAACAGCCCAACGUCUUAAUCCCGCAAGGGAAAUGUAGUCGGUUCACCUAUUGCACUGGUUUAAGUCAGAUGGAAUGCUGCGCGAUUCAGAGUAAAAGCCUUGUAUGACCAACCGCAAGCUUACGAUGGACCGGGGAGAGUCGGAUACUUUGAGAGUAGUGUCUUAAGGGGGUGGUAUGUCCCAUCCAAGGCUAAAUAACGUGAGGAGACCGAUAGAUUACAAGUAGUGUGAACGAAAGAUGAAAAGAACUCUAAAACAGAGGGUGAAAAGUUCCUGAACUUGCUUAGGGUUAAGGCUAUUUAUAGUACCCGUCUUGAAACACGGAUUAGGGAGUUUAUCUGUAGUGCGAGUCUUUGCACGUUAACUGUAAAGGCGUAGAGAAAGCAACUGGCGUUUGCAUGGCU
Molecule: non-coding RNA, 506 nt
Organism: Trichomonas vaginalis G3
Lineage: Eukaryota; Parabasalia; Trichomonadida; Trichomonadidae
Source: Rfam